RNAcentral lists this ribosomal RNA (253 nucleotides) under uncultured bacterium. Its description in RNAcentral is "partial 16S ribosomal RNA". It matches the Rfam family "Bacterial small subunit ribosomal RNA", at positions 524 to 776 of the family's 1533-position model. The record is from RNAcentral.
UACGUAGGGUGCGAGCGUUAAUCGGAAUUACUGGGCGUAAAGUGUGCGCAGGCGGCGUCGCAAGUCGAGUGUGAAAGCCCCGGGCUUAACUUGGGAAUUGCGCUCGAAACUACGAUGCUGGAGUAUGGCAGAGGAAGGUGGAAUUCCACGUGUAGCGGUGAAAUGCGUAGAGAUGUGGAGGAACACCGAUGGCGAAGGCAGCCUUCUGGGCCAAUACUGACGCUCAGGCACGAAAGCAUGGGGAUCAAACAGG